UAUAUUCUCCCAAACUUUGAAAUCAUUCCCUAAGGAAACCUGUCAUUCUUGCAAUGAAUUCCUUAAGAAUUUGGGUUGUUCCUGGAAGAUUUCAUGGACCAUUUUGAAAUGGUCAAUAGAUGGAGUCCUGGAAGUAUGAAAAGAUGGUUGGUAAAAUAGUUGGCUGGAGGAGAAGGGAUAAGAGGAAUCGAAUAGGCUAUCUUCAAGCGAUAUUUGUUUGUGGUUACUGUCAAGUUGGCUGAUUCUUGACUAGAGAUUCUGAUAGAGGUUAUUAACUUGACUUGACAAGGCAUCAACUUUUGUUCCAAUGGUUGGACAAAAGAACGGCCACCUCUUGGAUAGGAUCAACAUUAUGGCAGAGAGGGGAAACUCUUCCUCAUAAGUUUCUUAAGAGGAGGAGAACAUCAUACAAGUAGAUACCAGUGGUAAGAUAGGAAGGGGAGAUGGCUUUAGCUCUUUUACUUUCUCGUCUUAAAAUCUCCAAAGCUCUUCCAUAGAUCAACAAGGGAUUUCUUUUUGCAACCCCUUUAUAGAUAUCGAUCCAAGGACCAGAGACUGGUGAAGAGUUCCUUGGAAUAUACCUUUUGCAUGGAGAACGAAAUGGUAUUUCUUGACCCGUGAUUAAAGAUUUCAUCAGUCACUUUGUCGUUUUCACAGUUACAUCCUUUAUCGCACAUAUAGGAUCCUGGAACAUCCUAAAUAAAGUGACCAUUAAUUUUAUCCGUGUAGAUGCGAGUCCCGUUUG
Molecule: long non-coding RNA, 745 nt
Organism: Hevea brasiliensis (rubber tree)
Lineage: Eukaryota; Viridiplantae; Streptophyta; Magnoliopsida; Malpighiales; Euphorbiaceae
Exons: 3
Source: RefSeq, a predicted model, not a curated record